Molecule: ribosomal RNA, 490 nt
Filed under: uncultured bacterium
Lineage: Bacteria
Description: partial 16S ribosomal RNA
Rfam family: Bacterial small subunit ribosomal RNA
Source: RNAcentral
AUGAACGCUGGCUACAGGCUUAACACAUGCAAGUCGAGGGGAAACGACGGGGAAGCUUGCUUCCCCGGGCGUCGACCGGCGCACGGGUGAGUAACGCGUAUCCAACCUGCCUCUGACUGAGGGAUAACCCGUCGAAAGUCGGCCUAAUACCUCAUGGUAUCGUCUGCGGGCAUCCAACGACGAUUAAAGAUUUCAUCGGUCAGGGAUGGGGAUGCGUCUGAUUAGCUUGUUGGCGGGGUAACGGCCCACCAAGGCUACGAUCAGUAGGGGUUCUGAGAGGAAGGUCCCCCUCAUUGGAACUGAGACACGGUCCAAACUCCUACGGGAGGCAGCAGUGAGGAAUAUUGGUCAAUGGGCGAGAGCCUGAACCAGCCAAGUAGCGUGCAGGAAGACGGCCCUAUGGGUUGUAAACUGCUUUUAUGCGGGGAUAAAGUGAGGGACGUGUCCCUCAUUGCAGGUACCGCAUGAAUAAGGACCGGCUAAUUCCGUG